Molecule: long non-coding RNA, 1578 nt
Filed under: Prunus dulcis (almond)
Lineage: Eukaryota; Viridiplantae; Streptophyta; Magnoliopsida; Rosales; Rosaceae
Description: sRNA ncRNA
Source: RNAcentral
GGGAGAGAUGGAAGGAUGAGGCUCGAAAUUGCAGAGGUUUUAGAGGUGAGAGAUAAAGCUUGCUCUGCAGAUAGUGUUGCUUAGGAUAAAGAAGAAGGAGAUAGAAAGCGAGGCACUUGGGUUGGAUGUUUCUAGCAGUAAGAGAAUAAGCUUGCUCGACUACUCUGGUUGAGUUUAAUGGGUAAGAGGUACCUCCUUUUAUAACAGCUGGAAGCUCCUCCUUCCCACGAAACCCUAAUGGAUUAUCUCCAAUUUUGCCAAGUCUCCCUUUUCAUUUCUCUUUUCUCCCUUCGAUCCAUCAAAUUUUGUGGAAUUCUCCUCUGCCCAAUACAUAGAGACAAGAUUUUUAGGAAUUCAGAAGUCUUCCCGUAGCCAUUCCAGUGGUUAUUUCUUAUCUUUGGCUAUAAUCUCUCCUCAUUCCCUCCACUAUUUCAUGGCAAGAUCUGGUAAAGGAAGUAGAUAGGUAACUUUGGCUGGUUUGAAGGCUCCCUUUUCUCCUGCAAGAGCCAAUAUCUUUUGGUUUUUUGAGCGAUCUGCCUUGAGGUUUGUUUUGCCCACGUGCUGGAGCCUUCCAGCAGUUCACAUACAUGGGCAACUUUGGCUUUUAAUGUGGCUUUUGUCUCCAGCUAAGUGAUGGAGAUUGCAAAUAUUUUGCUUGGUUGCUUGGGCUUUCCUAAGGUGAUGGGUUAACCCAUUAAGAGAAUGGGCUAAUUUCCUAAAGUGAUAAGGCUAUUUUAUUGAGAUGAUGGGCUAAUUUUUCCUUAAGUAUUGGGCUAUUUCUCUCAUUUAUGCUUACCCACAUAUUUGGGCUCAAGAAAUGAGCUUGAGUUUUAGGGCUCCCAAGCAGCCAAAAACUUCCAUUUCUCGGCUCAUUAAUGGGCCUCAUGAAAGCUCGUUACCAUUCAUAUCACAACCCACUCAACAAGCCCCAGGAAUUUUGCGUGGCUUGGGCCCACUCAAACUUGUAGUAUGGCUAGGUGUAAUAAUAAUAAUUUUCCGCUUGGCAUUGCAUGUCGCUUGACGUGCUCGAAUUUUGUCGCUUUGAAGAGGGAUAUGACGCUUGAAGGGAUAAGUAGCUUGGGCUCAUAAAGUCAGUGCUUAUUUCAACUCUUAGCAUGACAGAUUGCAUAUUUAUUUGGCAUGGCACAUGGGUCAUGACUUGUGCAAGCGUGAAUGACGCACUUUCUCGUGCUCCAAAUCGGGUCUUUUCUUAAUAAGGCAUUGCAUUGGGCCGGGAAUUUAUUUGGGCCCAACCCUGAAUUUUUUAGGCCUUAACAACAUGUCAUCUCAGCUGCCCAAGUCCAUCUCCACCGCUUCCCCUCCUGCCCUUUAGCCUAUUGUUGCCCGUAGAAUUUGUCCUUUCACUGGGAAGAAAUCAAAUAGGGCAAACAAGAUUUCCUUCUCAACUCACAAGACCAAAAAGUUGCAGUUUGUGAACCUACAAUACAAGAGGGUUUGGUGGGAAGCUAGGAUGCGCUUUCUUAAACUGUGUUUGUCAACUAAAGCAUUGAAAACGAUAGAGAAAAACGGAAUUGAUGCCAUUGCCAAGAAGGCUGGGUAGAUCUUCGCAAGUUAUGA